This 514-nucleotide ribosomal RNA is filed under the name uncultured bacterium. RNAcentral describes it as "partial 16S ribosomal RNA". It matches the Rfam family "Bacterial small subunit ribosomal RNA", at positions 29 to 523 of the family's 1533-position model. The record is from RNAcentral.
AGCGAACGCUGGCGGCGUGCUUAACACAUGCAAGUCGAACGUGAAAUGUAGCAAUACAGAGUAAAGUGGCGUACGGGUGAGUAACACGUGGGUAAUCUACCAAAGAGCCUGGAAUAACCGACCGAAAGGUUGGCUAAUACUGGAUAGUUCAAAUGAAAUAUAAUGUUUCGAUUGGGAAAGGGAGCGAGCAAUCGCCUUCACUUUUUGAUGAGCCCGCGUCUGAUUAGCUAGUUGGUAGGGUAAUGGCCUACCAAGGCGACGAUCAGUAGCUGGUCUGAGAGGAUGAUCAGCCACACUGGAACUGAAACACGGUCCAGACUCCUACGGGAGGCAGCAGUGGGGAAUCUUGCGCAAUGGACGAAAGUCUGACGCAGCCACGCCGCGUGAGUGAAGAAGGCCUUCGGGUUGUAAAGCUCUGUCGGAAGGGACAAAAACGUUUAAGGUUAAUAGCCUUAGAUCUUGAUGGUACCUUCAAAGGAAGCACCGGCUAAACUCGUGCCAGCCGCCGCCGUAA